GACGAACGCUGGCGGCGUGCUUAACACAUGCAAGUCGAACGGUGAAGGGAUCAGCUUGCUGGUUCUGGAUGAGUGGCGAACGGGUGAGUAACACGUGAGUAACCUGCCCCCUUCUUCUGGAUAACCGCAUGAAAGUGUGGCUAAUACGGGAUAUUCUGCGCCUGCUGCAUGGUGGGUGUGGGAAAGAUAUUGUUUCGGUGGGGGAUGGGCUCGCGGCCUAUCAGCUUGUUGGUGGGGUGUUGGCCUACCAAGGCGGUGACGGGUAGCCGGCCUGAGAGGGUGGACGGUCACACUGGGACUGAGACACGGCCCAGACUCCUACGGGAGGCAGCAGUGGGGAAUAUUGCACAAUGGGCGCAAGCCUGAUGCAGCGACGCCGCGUGAGGGAUGGAGGCCUUCGGGUUGUGAAUCUCUUUCGCCAGUGAAGCAGGCCUGUCCCGUGUGGGUGGGUUGACGGUAGCUGGAUAAGAAGCGCCGGCUAACUACGUG
This 489-nucleotide ribosomal RNA is filed under the name uncultured bacterium. RNAcentral describes it as "partial 16S ribosomal RNA". It matches the Rfam family "Bacterial small subunit ribosomal RNA", at positions 28 to 507 of the family's 1533-position model. The record is from RNAcentral.